Molecule: transfer RNA, 71 nt
Filed under: Marmota monax (woodchuck)
Lineage: Eukaryota; Metazoa; Chordata; Mammalia; Rodentia; Sciuridae
Rfam family: tRNA
About the family: Transfer RNA (tRNA) molecules are approximately 80 nucleotides in length. Their secondary structure includes four short double-helical elements and three loops (D, anti-codon, and T loops). Further hydrogen bonds mediate the characteristic L-shaped molecular structure. tRNAs have two regions of fundamental functional importance: the anti-codon, which is responsible for specific mRNA codon recognition, and the 3' end, to which the tRNAs corresponding amino acid is attached (by aminoacyl-tRNA synthetases). tRNAs cope with the degeneracy of the genetic code in two manners: having more than one tRNA (with a specific anti-codon) for a particular amino acid; and 'wobble' base-pairing, i.e. permitting non-standard base-pairing at the 3rd anti-codon position.
Source: Rfam by way of RNAcentral
GUGGCUGUGGCUCAGUGGUAGAGCGCUUGCCUAGCAUGCGUGAGGCACUGAGUUUGAUCCUCAGCACCACG